This 392-nucleotide ribosomal RNA is filed under the name Bacillus sp. 'CIFT MFB 14262 ACT3'. Its description in RNAcentral is "bacterial SSU rRNA". It matches the Rfam family "Bacterial small subunit ribosomal RNA", at positions 1052 to 1444 of the family's 1533-position model. Lineage: Bacteria; Bacillati; Bacillota; Bacilli; Caryophanales; Bacillaceae. The record is from RNAcentral.
UCGUCAGCUCGUGUCGUGAGAUGUUGGGUUAAGUCCCGCAACGAGCGCAACCCUUGAUCUUAGUUGCCAGCAUUCAGUUGGGCACUCUAAGGUGACUGCCGGUGACAAACCGGAGGAAGGUGGGGAUGACGUCAAAUCAUCAUGCCCCUUAUGACCUGGGCUACACACGUGCUACAAUGGGCAGAACAAAGGGCAGCGAAGCCGCGAGGCUAAGCCAAUCCCACAAAUCUGUUCUCAGUUCGGAUCGCAGUCUGCAACUCGACUGCGUGAAGCUGGAAUCGCUAGUAAUCGCGGAUCAGCAUGCCGCGGUGAAUACGUUCCCGGGCCUUGUACACACCGCCCGUCACACCACGAGAGUUUGUAACACCCGAAGUCGGUGAGGUAACCUUUGA